GACAGAGGUGCCGAGCGUUAGGCGGAAUCACUGGGCUUAAAGCGUGUGUAGGCGGCCCGUUAAGUGUCUUGUGAAAUCCCACGGCUUAACCGUGGAACGGCUGGGUAUACUGCGAAUCUUGGGCCAUCUAGGGGCUAGCGGAACAAACGGUGGAGCGGUGAAAUGCGUAGAUAUCGUUUGGAACGCCAAUGGUGAAAACAGCUAGCUGGGGAUGUGCCGACGCUGAGACACGAAAGCCAGGGGAGCGAACGGG
RNAcentral lists this ribosomal RNA (253 nucleotides) under uncultured bacterium. RNAcentral's name for it is "partial 16S ribosomal RNA". It matches the Rfam family "Bacterial small subunit ribosomal RNA", at positions 524 to 776 of the family's 1533-position model. The record is from RNAcentral.